UACAGAGGUCUCAAGCGUUGUUCGGAUUCAUUGGGCGUAAAGGGUGCGUAGGUGGCGGGGUAAGUCUGGUGUGAAAUCUCGGGGCUCAACCCCGAAACUGCACUGGAUACUGCCUUGCUUGAGUACUGGAGAGGAGAUUGGAGUUUACGGUGUAGCAGUGAAAUGCGUAGAUAUCGUAAGGAAGACCAGUGGCGAAGGCGAAUCUCUGGACAGUUACUGACACUGAGGCACGAAGGCCAGGGGAGCAAACGGG
RNAcentral lists this ribosomal RNA (253 nucleotides) under uncultured bacterium. Its description in RNAcentral is "partial 16S ribosomal RNA". It matches the Rfam family "Bacterial small subunit ribosomal RNA", at positions 524 to 776 of the family's 1533-position model. The record is from RNAcentral.